GACGAACGCUGGCGGCGUGCUUAACACAUGCAAGUCGAACGGAAAGGCCCUGCUUUUGUGGGGUGCUCGAGUGGCGAACGGGUGAGUAACACGUGAGUAACCUGCCCUUGACUUUGGGAUAACUUCAGGAAACUGGGGCUAAUACAGGAUAGGAGCUCCUGCUGCAUGGUGGGGGUUGGACAGUUUCGGCGGUUGGGGAUGGACUCGCGGCUUAUCAGCUUGUUGGUGGGGUAGUGGCUUACCAAGGCUUUGACGGGUAGCCGGCCUGAGAGGGUGACCGGCCACAUGGGGACUGAGAGACGGCCCAGACUCCUACGGGAGGCAGCAGUGGGGAAUAUUGCACAAUGGGCGGAAGCCUGAUGCAGCAACGCCGCGUGCGGGAUGACGGCCUGCUGGUUGUAAACCGCUUUCGCCUGUGACGAAGCGGGAGUGACGGUAAUGGGUAAAGAAGCACCGGCUAACUACGUG
This 468-nucleotide ribosomal RNA is filed under the name uncultured bacterium. RNAcentral's name for it is "partial 16S ribosomal RNA". It matches the Rfam family "Bacterial small subunit ribosomal RNA", at positions 28 to 507 of the family's 1533-position model. The record is from RNAcentral.